RNAcentral lists this small RNA (740 nucleotides) under Pongo abelii (Sumatran orangutan). RNAcentral describes it as "retained intron". Lineage: Eukaryota; Metazoa; Chordata; Mammalia; Primates; Hominidae. The record is from RNAcentral.
GACCGGUUGGUUUGGUUUUGAAGACGUGGAUGGCGGGAAUUCUCGCUCCUGGCCUGGCAAGGACAUUGAGGUCCCUAUCACCGCUUGCCUAGACAACUUCAUGGGAAGGCCCUUGGGAAUCUGAGAUGGAGCAGGCGAACCCUUUACGUCCAGAUGGCGAGUCCAAAGGAGGUGUUUUAGCUCACUUGGAAAGGCUAGAGACCCAAGUGAGCAGAUCCCGUAAACAGUCUGAAGAGCUGCAGAGUGUGCAGGCCCAGGAAGGUGCUCUUGGAACCAAGAUUCAUAAACUAAGGCGUUUGCGAGAUGAGCUGAGGGCUGCGGUGCGGCACCGGCGAGCCAGCGUGAAAGCAUGUAUUGCCAAUGUAGAACCCAACCAAACAGUGGAGAUCAAUGAGCAGGAAGCACUGGAAGAGAAAUUGGGAAAUGUGAAAGCCAUUCUGCAGGCAUAUCAUUUUACAGGUUUUGUUUGUUUUUUUAACCUAAUUUAGUCUGGGUCUGCCUCUAGUGAGUUAGUUUGCUAGAUGUGUUAUCAGUCCUGGACUUAUUUCAUAAUUUAUAGUAUUUUACACCCUCUGCCCUCAUCACACACAGACACACACAGACACACACAGCUGACAUGCUAUUUGUAGGCCUAUCUUCACCUACAAGAUUGACUGGCCCCUUUGUACAGCAGCUGAGUUGGUGGCUGGCUUAUUCCAUUCAUUUUAACAAUUCGUCAUGUGCCAGACCCUGUACUAGAA